Long non-coding RNA from Corvus hawaiiensis (hawaiian crow), 1637 nucleotides. RefSeq lists it as uncharacterized. NCBI's taxonomy places the organism in Eukaryota, Metazoa, Chordata, Aves, Passeriformes, Corvidae. The transcript has 4 exons. The record is from RefSeq and is a predicted model, not a curated record.
GCUGCUCCCUGGAUGCUGUCCCUGGCCCAGGAAGCAGAGAUCGGAGCUGCCCUUCCACUGCCCCUCCUGAGGAAGCCGCAGCCCCCGACGAGUCUCUCCUUGGUCUCCUCCAGGCAGAACAAUCCAGAGGACCUCAGCCGCUCUUUGUGUGGAGGAAACGCCGCGGGACGCGUGCUGGGAAUGUGCUGGGAAUGCUGCUGGCUCGGUGUGGAGCAGGAGGAGCAGCAUCCCUGGUGUAAUUGAGAUGUUGGUGCCUAUCUCUCGGAGGUGGAGGCAAUCAUCCGCCAAAGCGCUGCGGGACAGAGAGGCAGAGCAGCGGCUUGAUCACCUCCCUAAUGGCCGGUCCUGGGUGAGCUCGGGAGGAGGAUUCCCGCAAUCCGCUCCGCUCCUGCAGGCUCCCAGGGAGCAGCGAGGCCUCUAAACCGGUUAGGAAGCUCCAGGCGUUGGCACUACCUGGAUUACAAAGCUCGUCAUGGAGUAAUGCACCGGCUGUUCCUCAUCCCCAAUCCCCACGAAAAUGGAAAAAUAUGGAGUGGAGGAGUAUUGCUGAGAAGUGUCACUGGUCUCAGCAGGUAGUUCUUGGCUGUGAAGCACCACAAGUGCCUUCCUCAUCCAGAGAGGAGUGCUGGUGAUGGGAGGCUGGGCUGGCCUUUCCCUCCUUCCUCCCACAGGGAUUGUUCUCCCGUCAUCCAGUUCCCAGGAACGUGAAGAAGCAGCGAGGAUUGAUGAACGUUCCAUGAGCAGCAGUGCUGAGGAGAGGCCAAACACUCUGGUGUCCUUAGGCUGUGGCCCUAAGGACCACUUGGACCACCCAGCCCCACAGGAUGGUCCUGGCCCUACCUGGGGGUUCCACCAAGGCACUCCCAGCCAGCUCCUGCAAUGCCUUUGUAGCCUCGUGCUGCUGCUGCCUCUGCCUUCCGUGGGCUGCCAGCAAGUGGGGCAGCCUGGGCCAGGUCUGCACUGGGCCAGAAGUUCAUGGAAUCAUGGAAUGGUUUGGCUUGGAAGUGUCCUCUGAAGGCCACCUAGACCAACCCUCAGGUUGCUGAGAGCCCCAUCUAACGUGACCAUGAGUGUUUCCGGGGAUGGAGCACCCACAACCAGUCCAGAGCUUCAUCCCCUUCAGCAUGAAGCAGCUCUUCCUUCUAUCUCUCCUGAAUCUCCCCUCUUUUAGGUUAAAACCACGACCCCUUGUCCUGUUGCUGUAGGCCCUGACAAGAAGUUUGCUCCAGCUCUCUUGGAGCCCCCUGAGGCACCAGAAGGGCUCUGAGGUCUCCUUUCCUUCUCCAGGCUGAACAACCCCGGUUCUUGCAGAAUUUUCCAUGGGAGGGUUGCUCCAGCCUUCGGAGCACGUUUGUGGCUGCUCCAACAGGUCCCUGCCUUAUUCCUUCGGGAGCCGGCGAUCCCGAUUCACACCCGCCACGUGCUGGAUCCUUCUCUUCCAGCCCAAGGCUGAAAUAAGCCGGGUUGGCAGCGCACGGAGCACCCACGCAGGGCCCGCAGCGCCCUCCCCGCCCCGCACCGAGGCGGCUGCUGCUGCCUUUGAGCCGCUGGCAGGGCCUGGGCGCAGCCCUGAUUAGAUCGCUGUCACCAGGGAACAGGAAGGUUAAUUGCCAUUCUCUUUGUGUGCCGCUCGGAGA